CUUUUUGUAGUAACAUCCAUUUGUCCAGCAUAUGUAGAAUAUUAGAUUUUUUGGCUGUUUAUCGUAGUUCGUUCUCAAGGUUUGGAAAAUUCUUUAGCUAUAUUCCUUGUCUCAAGCGAGCAUGAGCAAUAUCUUCUUUAUGCCGCAUGCCGCCAAGUUUCUCUAUUUUAGAUGGUUGUGUAAAUUUUGCUUCUAAAAAGGGAUAUGUAUUUUAUUAAUCUGACUAUAAUUUGUGGUAGGUACAUACUGAAGGAUGUUCUGAGGCUAGCACCUGGUUUAGAAGUUUUACAAUUCACAACAAUACCUCAUAAUUUUGAUUUGAUGUCCAGAAUGUAAAUUGAAGAAUGAGCCUAUGAAUUGCAUUGUAUUUUGUAAUGUAUCCUUAUAUAUGGUGCUUGUGGCUGGUUUUUUUGCAAUUAUAAGUUUAUGUUUAUGGGUAUUAUAGAGUCCUUUCUUUUUCUACAAGGGGCAGUAGCCGUGUCAUUCGAUUCGAAGGACAAAGAGUUGAUCACAAAGGGGUAGCACUCAGGAUAUAUACACAAGAGUAUAGAACCAAAUUAUAUGAUGUAAUUGACCACUAUUUCUAUUAACUUCUCCUGUACAAAUGUUCACGAGUUCAUGUAUUAAGUACAUUUUAUUGUGUCACUUGUGUUUUCUCUUUUUUAAUGCAAGUUUACAGCUACUCGGAGUUCCUAAUUGCAGACUCAACUAUUUUGACCUACCGAUGAUCUAAUUUGUGGCAUUAUUACCUUCAAAAAAUAUUUGCAUUUAAUUUCCUUUAUGUAUAGGGGUAUAAGUUCUUACCAAAUGUACUCAAAUAUA
Molecule: long non-coding RNA, 822 nt
Filed under: Triticum aestivum (bread wheat)
Lineage: Eukaryota; Viridiplantae; Streptophyta; Magnoliopsida; Poales; Poaceae
Description: long non-coding RNA (TAES_LNC019547)
Source: RNAcentral